ACCCGCUGAACUUAAGCAUAUCAGUAAGCGGAGGAAAAGAAAAUAACAAUGAUUGCCUCAGUAGCGGCGAGUGAAGAGGCAAAAGCCCAAGAUGUUAAUCUGUGUUAAAGACAUAGAAUUGUAAUCUAUGGAAUAGCUCAGAAAGCCGAAGUCCGCCAUAAAUUCCUUGGAAUAGGAUGCCAGAGAGGGUGAAAGCCCCGUCUUCGGGUGGGACAAGGCAAUAUGAGAUGUUUCCAAGAGUCGGGUAGUUUGGGAAUGCUGCCCUAAUUGGGAGAUAAACUUCUCCUAAGGCUAAAUAUUUAUAGGAGACCGAUAGCAUACAAGUACUGCGAAGGAAAGAUGAAAAGAACUUUGAAAAGAGGGUUAAAAGACUUGAAAUCGUUGAAAAGGAAGCAGUAAAAGAGAAAUUAUUUGCCUAGGAAAAAGGUUUUAGGCUAAGCUUUGAGGUGGAGAAUACUUCAUAGGGUUCUUGCCUUAAAGUGAAAACUAACUCACUAUUUCUAGGUAAUAGGCAGAAUGAGUUCGGGCUGCAAGAAUAAGUUGGCAUGUUUAUUCAUCCAAUCGAAGUUGCAGUGCGGACUGAGGGAUCUUAGGAUGAUUCUGUCAAAAUGGCUUUUACUGACCCGUCUUGAAACACGGACCAAGGAGUCUACCUAUUAUGCGAGUGUUCGAGUGGAAAAACUCAAACGCACACCGAAAGGGAUUUAAGAUGCGAGGCGCGAGCUGCAGCAUCAACCAAUCUUGAUUCUUUGAUGAUAGACUUGAGUAAGAGCAUAAUCGGUAGGACCCGAAAGAUGGUGAACUACGGUUGAGUAGGGUGAAGCCAGGGGAAACUCUGGUGGAGGCUCGAAGCGUUACUGACGUGCAAAUCGUUCGUCAAACUUGACUGUAGGGGCGAAAGACUAAUCGAACCAUCUAGUAGCUGGUUCCCUCUGAAAUUUCUCUCAGGAUAGCAGGGAACAGUUUUAUGCAGUUUUAUCAGGUAAAGCUAAUGAUUAGUGGACUCGGGGUUCCCGUGGGCCUUGACCAAUUCUCAAACUUUAAAUUGGUAAGAACCAGAAGUUUUCUUAAUUGAACUUCGGGGUAGAAUGCAUUGUUCUUAGUGGGCCAUUUUUGGUAAGCAGAACUGGCGAUGAGGGAUGAACCUAACGUUGAGAUAAGGUGCCAAAAUUCACGCUCAUGAGAUACCAAAAAAGGUGUUGGUUAGUUUAAACAGCCGGACUGUGGCCAUGGAAGUCGGCACCAGCUAAGGAGUGUGUAACAACUCACCAGCCGAAUUAACCAGCCCUGAAAAUUGAUGGCGCUAAGCGUGAUACCGAUACUCAACCACCAAAGCAAAUAGAAGCAUUGGUGAGUAAGAGGGCGUGAGGACUGUGUAGAAGGCUUGGAUGUGAAUCUGGCUGGAACAGUCUUUAGUGCAGAUCUUGGUGGUAGUAGCAAAUAUUCAAAUGAGAACUUUGAAGACCGAAGUGGAGAAGGGUUCCAUGAGAACAGCAUUUGAUCAUGGGUUACUCGAUCCUAAGACAUAGGGAAACUCCUUGUAAUACAUUUGUUCUUACGAACAUGUAGUCAAAAGGGAGUGAGGUUCAUAUUCCUCAAGCUGGAUGUGGUAGUUAUGUGGCAACACAAAUAAGCUCGGAGACAUCUGCAUGUGCAACUGGAAGAGUUCUCUUUUCUUCUUAACAGUCUAUCUCCCUGAAUGGAUUGUCCAGAGCUAGGGAUAUAUGGCUGGCAGAGCAGUUCACCAUCGAAUUGUCAGUGAUGCUCAUGACGAUCCUUGAAAAUCCGAGUAAGAUUAUCUAAUCACACCAGGUCGUACCCAUAACCGCAUCAGGUCUCCAAGGUU
RNAcentral lists this ribosomal RNA (1846 nucleotides) under Zoothamnium sp. 3 JI13062901. Its description in RNAcentral is "LSU rRNA". It matches the Rfam family "Eukaryotic large subunit ribosomal RNA", at positions 23 to 1874 of the family's 3401-position model. The record is from RNAcentral. Lineage: Eukaryota; Ciliophora; Oligohymenophorea; Sessilida; Zoothamnidae.